CUUCGAUAUAUGGCAGUAGAGAGAGACCUGAAAGAGGGGAGACAAAGUGAGCAGAGAAACAUGGAAAAGAUAGGGAAAUGAAGAAAGAAUGAGGGUUUUCUUUCUUUCUUUUGAAUGGGAAGGAGAUGUCAUUUUGGAUAGCCGACAUUAGGGUGCAGCCACCGCAGCCACAUCCUUUUCCGACUGACGGGAUCCCUAAUAUCAUGUCUCUUCACCCAUCCUUUGUUAUUAGUUUUAUUUUCAUUUUUAUUUUCUUAAAUAGCUGUUCAUCUUGAAAUGACCUUUCAUGAAAAUCAAUCAACUCAGCCUCAAUUUUUUUUUAAUCUUGACAUUUGUAGUUCAUGCACAAAAAGGAAAAUAUCGCAUCCAAUUAUUUUGAGAUGACUCAUCGAUGGGCUGCCUGUCUCUCCCCCAAAUUUAAUGUAACUCUAGCUAAGAAGCCAUCUCUUUCCGGUGCUCCCCUUCCCAUCCCUAUAAUUCCAUCUCAAUUGGAAGACUGUUACAUUG
This 507-nucleotide long non-coding RNA is filed under the name Linum usitatissimum (flax). Its description in RNAcentral is "long non-coding RNA (LUSI_LNC005154)". The record is from RNAcentral. Lineage: Eukaryota; Viridiplantae; Streptophyta; Magnoliopsida; Malpighiales; Linaceae.